This 823-nucleotide ribosomal RNA is filed under the name Bacillus subtilis. RNAcentral's name for it is "bacterial SSU rRNA". It matches the Rfam family "Bacterial small subunit ribosomal RNA", at positions 59 to 861 of the family's 1533-position model. Lineage: Bacteria; Bacillati; Bacillota; Bacilli; Caryophanales; Bacillaceae. The record is from RNAcentral.
CAGUCGAGCGGACUUUCAAGAAGCUUGCUUUUUGAAAGUUAGCGGCGGACGGGUGAGUAACACGUGGGCAACCUGCCUGCAAGACGGGGAUAACUCCGGGAAACCGGGGCUAAUACCGGAUAAUAUCUUCCUUCGCAUGAAGGAAGGUUGAAAGGCGGCGCAAGCUGCCGCUUGCAGAUGGGCCCGCGGCGCAUUAGCUAGUUGGUGAGGUAACGGCUCACCAAGGCGACGAUGCGUAGCCGACCUGAGAGGGUGAUCGGCCACACUGGGACUGAGACACGGCCCAGACUCCUACGGGAGGCAGCAGUAGGGAAUCUUCCGCAAUGGACGAAAGUCUGACGGAGCAACGCCGCGUGAGCGAAGAAGGUCUUCGGAUCGUAAAGCUCUGUUGUCAGGGAAGAACAAGUACCGUUCAAACAGGGCGGUACCUUGACGGUACCUGACCAGAAAGCCACGGCUAACUACGUGCCAGCAGCCGCGGUAAUACGUAGGUGGCAAGCGUUGUCCGGAAUUAUUGGGCGUAAAGCGCGCGCAGGCGGUCUCUUAAGUCUGAUGUGAAAGCCCACGGCUCAACCGUGGAGGGUCAUUGGAAACUGGGAGACUUGAGUGCAGAAGAGGAGAGCGGAAUUCCACGUGUAGCGGUGAAAUGCGUAGAGAUGUGGAGGAACACCAGUGGCGAAGGCGGCUCUCUGGUCUGUAACUGACGCUGAGGCGCGAAAGCGUGGGGAGCGAACAGGAUUAGAUACCCUGGUAGUCCACGCCGUAAACGAUGAGUGCUAAGUGUUAGAGGGCUUCCACCCUUUAGUGCUGCAGCUAACGCAUU